AACAUUCCACUAGAAAGAACCUGAAAAGUGAAUAUAUUUUAAUGUGCAGACACUGUUUUGACACAGAUCUGUAGCUCUGACACAGAAUAUUCAUU
This is a long non-coding RNA of Sphaeramia orbicularis (orbiculate cardinalfish), 95 nucleotides long. RefSeq lists it as uncharacterized. The record is from RefSeq and is a predicted model, not a curated record. NCBI's taxonomy places the organism in Eukaryota, Metazoa, Chordata, Actinopteri, Kurtiformes, Apogonidae. The transcript has 3 exons.